This 73-nucleotide transfer RNA is filed under the name bacterium. RNAcentral describes it as "tRNA-Gln". It matches the Rfam family "tRNA". From Rfam's summary of the family: Transfer RNA (tRNA) molecules are approximately 80 nucleotides in length. Their secondary structure includes four short double-helical elements and three loops (D, anti-codon, and T loops). The record is from RNAcentral.
UGUCUCGUGGUGUAAUUGGCAACACGUCUGGUUUUGGUCCAGAAGAGUCCAGGUUCGAGCCCUGGCGAGACAA